AUUCUAAUAAGCCAAAUUACAUUGUUAAAGUAACAAGAUAAUAUAGAUUAGACGAUCCUAUGACCAGUGGCUGACGACACGACAUCAGUUCAGACAUCCCAUAUCGCAUCACCAGAUGACGCAACCAGGCUAGCUGUUUCCGCUGCAUGGUGGGAGUUCGCUUCGAUUCAGUGCAACAUCUGUUCUCUUCCUAAAAGUGACAAUGAUCUUACAGUUCACUGUGGCCCAUGAACACAACAAUGGCAAAAAGUGAUUGGAAGUCUUUUAUAUCUGAAUAAUCAGAAAUGAAAAUGAUUUCGCUCCAUUACACUGAGCCACCUGGGUCUAUCAUCUUACAUCUUGUAGAAUACAUGUACUCUUUUAUAGCUUGUACGUGUUUACUGCAAAUAAAAUAGUUGGAAAUGGUGAUUAUGUCCUGUAAGAGUGUACUUAGCCAUGGUGUAACAUAAUUGAUUUUCCAUUAAAAACCUAUCGGUUUCGUUCCACUA
Molecule: long non-coding RNA, 488 nt
Organism: Ostrea edulis (European flat oyster)
Lineage: Eukaryota; Metazoa; Mollusca; Bivalvia; Ostreida; Ostreidae
Exons: 2
Source: RefSeq, a predicted model, not a curated record